RNAcentral lists this ribosomal RNA (402 nucleotides) under uncultured bacterium. RNAcentral describes it as "bacterial SSU rRNA". It matches the Rfam family "Bacterial small subunit ribosomal RNA", at positions 354 to 772 of the family's 1533-position model. The record is from RNAcentral.
GUGAGGAAUCUUCCACAAUGGGGGAAACCCUGAUGGAGCAACGCCGCGUGCAGGAUGAAGGCCCUCGGGUCGUAAACUGCUUUUAUGAGCGAAGAAUAUGACGGUAACUCAUGAAUAAGGGUCGGCUAACUACGUGCCAGCAGCCGCGGUCAUACGUAGGACCCAAGCGUUAUCCGGAGUGACUGGGCGUAAAGAGUUGCGUAGGCGGUUAGUAAAGCGAAUAGUUAAAGAUGAUGGCUCAACCAUCAGAACAUUGUUCGAACUCACUAACUCGAGAAUGGUAGAGGUGGCUGGAAUUUCCUGUGUAGGAGUGAAAUCCGUAGAUAUAGGAAGGAACACCAAUGGCGUAGGCAGGCCACUGGACCAUUUCUGACGCUGAGGCACGAAAGCGUGGGGAGCGAA